GCCUGGGUGGCUCAGUUGGUUGAGUAUCCGACUUCGGCUCAGGUCAUGAUCUCGCCAUUUGUGAGUUUGAGCCCACUUCAGGCU
RNAcentral lists this transfer RNA (84 nucleotides) under Felis catus (domestic cat). It matches the Rfam family "tRNA". From Rfam's summary of the family: Transfer RNA (tRNA) molecules are approximately 80 nucleotides in length. The record is from Rfam by way of RNAcentral. Lineage: Eukaryota; Metazoa; Chordata; Mammalia; Carnivora; Felidae.